This 468-nucleotide ribosomal RNA is filed under the name uncultured bacterium. Its description in RNAcentral is "partial 16S ribosomal RNA". It matches the Rfam family "Bacterial small subunit ribosomal RNA", at positions 28 to 507 of the family's 1533-position model. The record is from RNAcentral.
GACGAACGCUGGCGGCGUGCUUAACACAUGCAAGUCGAACGGAAAGGCCCUGCUUUUGUGGGGUGCUCGAGUGGCGAACGGGUGAGUAACACGUGAGUAACCUGCCCUUGACUUUGGGAUAACUUCAGGAAACUGGGGCUAAUACCGGAUAGGAGCUCCUGCUGCAUGGUGGGGGUUGGAAAGUUUCGGCGGUUGGGGAUGGACUCGCGGCUUAUCAGCUUGUUGGUGGGGUAGUGGCUUACCAAGGCUUUGGCGGGUAGCCGGCCUGAGAGGGUGACCGGCCACAUUGGGACGGAGAUACGGCCCAGACUCCUACGGGAGGCAGCAGUGGGGAAUAUUGCACAAUGGGCGGAAGCCUGAUGCAGCAACGCCGCGUGCGGGAUGACGGCCUUCGGGUUGUAAACCGCUUUCGCCUGUGACGAAGCGUGAGUGACGGUAAUGGGUAAAGAAGCACCGGCUAACUACGUG